GGUUGGUCCGAGUGCAGUGGUGUUUACAACUAAUUGAUCACAACCAGUUACAGAUUCCUUUGUUCCUUCUCCACUCCCACUGCUCCACUUGACCAGCCUUUA
This is an unclassified non-coding RNA of Microcebus murinus (gray mouse lemur), 102 nucleotides long. It matches the Rfam family "Y RNA". From Rfam's summary of the family: Y RNAs are components of the Ro ribonucleoprotein particle (Ro RNP), in association with Ro60 and La proteins. The record is from Ensembl. NCBI's taxonomy places the organism in Eukaryota, Metazoa, Chordata, Mammalia, Primates, Cheirogaleidae.